Molecule: ribosomal RNA, 546 nt
Filed under: Tarnania fenestralis
Lineage: Eukaryota; Metazoa; Arthropoda; Insecta; Diptera; Mycetophilidae
Description: partial 12S ribosomal RNA
Source: RNAcentral
AAUAAAUACAAAUAAAAAGUAUUAUUAAAAGUUAAAAUAAAAUUAAUAAUAUAUAAUAUAAUUUAUUGGGUUAAAUUUUAAAUUAUAAAAAUUAUUAUAAAAGUAAAUAUUUUAAGCUUGGAAAUUUUUAUAAUAAACUAGGAUUAGAUACCCUAUUAUAAGAAAUGUAAAUUUAAAUAAUAGAGUAGUAAUAGUUAUGUUCUUAAAACUUAAUAAAUUUGGCGGUAUUUUAAUCUAUUCAGAGGAACUUGUUUUAUAAUUGAUAAUCCUCGUUAAAUCUUACUUAAUUUAUCAAUUUGUAUACCAUCGUCAUAAGAAUCUCUUAAAAAAGAAAAAAUUUUCUAAAAAAUUAAUUAGUUAAAAUGUCAGAUCAAGGUGCAGUUUAUAGUUAAGAAAAAAUGAGUUACAAUAAAUUUAUUUAAAUGAAUUUUAAAUUUAAAUAUUUAAAUGAAGGUGGAUUUGAUAGUAAAAUAAACAAUAAAAUUUAUUUGAUUUUAGUUCUAAAAUAUGCACAUAUCGCCCGUCGCUCUCGUUAUUUAAAAUGAG